Molecule: ribosomal RNA, 497 nt
Filed under: uncultured bacterium
Lineage: Bacteria
Description: partial 16S ribosomal RNA
Rfam family: Bacterial small subunit ribosomal RNA
Source: RNAcentral
GAUGAACGCUGGCGGCGUGCCUAAUACAUGCAAGUCGAGCGAACAGACGAGGAGCUUGCUCCUCUGACGUUAGCGGCGGACGGGUGAGUAACACGUGGAUAACCUACCUAUAAGACUGGGAUAACUUCGGGAAACCGGAGCUAAUACCGGAUAAUAUAUUGAACCGCAUGGUUCAAUAGUGAAAGACGGUUUUGCUGUCACUUAUAGAUGGAUCCGCGCCGCAUUAGCUAGUUGGUAAGGUAACGGCUUACCAAGGCAACGAUGCGUAGCCGACCUGAGAGGGUGAUCGGCCACACUGGAACUGAGACACGGUCCAGACUCCUACGGGAGGCAGCAGUAGGGAAUCUUCCGCAAAGGGCGAAAGCCUGACGGAGCAACGCCGCGUGAGUGAUGAAGGUCUUCGGAUCGUAAAACUCUGUUAUUAGGGAAGAACAAAUGUGUAAGUAACUAUGCACGUCUUGACGGUACCUAAUCACAAAGCCACGGCUAACUACGUG